RNAcentral lists this ribosomal RNA (982 nucleotides) under Limosilactobacillus fermentum. RNAcentral describes it as "bacterial SSU rRNA". It matches the Rfam family "Bacterial small subunit ribosomal RNA", at positions 427 to 1402 of the family's 1533-position model. The record is from RNAcentral. Lineage: Bacteria; Bacillati; Bacillota; Bacilli; Lactobacillales; Lactobacillaceae.
AAAGCUCUGUUGUUAAAGAAGAACACGUAUGAGAGUAACUGUUCAUACGUUGACGGUAUUUAACCAGAAAGUCACGGCUAACUACGUGCCAGCAGCCGCGGUAAUACGUAGGUGGCAAGCGUUAUCCGGAUUUAUUGGGCGUAAAGAGAGUGCAGGCGGUUUUCUAAGUCUGAUGUGAAAGCCUUCGGCUUAACCGGAGAAGUGCAUCGGAAACUGGAUAACUUGAGUGCAGAAGAGGGUAGUGGAACUCCAUGUGUAGCGGUGGAAUGCGUAGAUAUAUGGAAGAACACCAGUGGCGAAGGCGGCUACCUGGUCUGCAACUGACGCUGAGACUCGAAAGCAUGGGUAGCGAACAGGAUUAGAUACCCUGGUAGUCCAUGCCGUAAACGAUGAGUGCUAGGUGUUGGAGGGUUUCCGCCCUUCAGUGCCGGAGCUAACGCAUUAAGCACUCCGCCUGGGGAGUACGACCGCAAGGUUGAAACUCAAAGGAAUUGACGGGGGCCCGCACAAGCGGUGGAGCAUGUGGUUUAAUUCGAAGCUACGCGAAGAACCUUACCAGGUCUUGACAUCUUGCGCCAACCCUAGAGAUAGGGCGUUUCCUUCGGGAACGCAAUGACAGGUGGUGCAUGGUCGUCGUCAGCUCGUGUCGUGAGAUGUUGGGUUAAGUCCCGCAACGAGCGCAACCCUUGUUACUAGUUGCCAGCAUUAAGUUGGGCACUCUAGUGAGACUGCCGGUGACAAACCGGAGGAAGGUGGGGACGACGUCAGAUCAUCAUGCCCCUUAUGACCUGGGCUACACACGUGCUACAAUGGACGGUACAACGAGUCGCGAACUCGCGAGGGCAAGCAAAUCUCUUAAAACCGUUCUCAGUUCGGACUGCAGGCUGCAACUCGCCUGCACGAAGUCGGAAUCGCUAGUAAUCGCGGAUCAGCAUGCCGCGGUGAAUACGUUCCCGGGCCUUGUACACACCGCCCGUCACAC